RNAcentral lists this ribosomal RNA (491 nucleotides) under uncultured bacterium. RNAcentral's name for it is "partial 16S ribosomal RNA". It matches the Rfam family "Bacterial small subunit ribosomal RNA", at positions 29 to 507 of the family's 1533-position model. The record is from RNAcentral.
AGUGAACGCUGGCGGUAGGCCUAACACAUGCAAGUCGAACGGCAGCACAGUAAGAGCUUGCUCUUACGGGUGGCGAGUGGCGGACGGGUGAGGAAUACAUCGGAAUCUACUUUUCGUGGGGGAUAACGUAGGGAAACUUACGCUAAUACCGCAUACGACCUACGGGUGGAAGCAGGGGAUCUUCGGACCUUGCGCGAUUGAAUGAGCCGAUGUCGGAUUAGCUAGUUGGCGGGGUAAAGGCCCACCAAGGCGACGACCCGUAGCUGGUCUGAGAGGAUGAUCAGCCACACUGGAACUGAGACACGGUCCAGACUCCUACGGGAGGCAGCAGUGGGGAAUAUUGGACAAUGGGCGUAAGCCUGAUCCAGCCAUACCGCGUGGGUGAAGAAGGCCUUCGGGUUGUAAAGCCCUUUUGUUGGGAAAGAAAAGCAGCAGGUUAAUACCCCGCUGUUCUGACGGUACCCAAAGAAUAAGCACCGGCUAACUUCGUG